This 838-nucleotide ribosomal RNA is filed under the name uncultured bacterium. RNAcentral's name for it is "bacterial SSU rRNA". It matches the Rfam family "Bacterial small subunit ribosomal RNA", at positions 11 to 869 of the family's 1533-position model. The record is from RNAcentral.
GUUUGAUCCUGGUUCAGGAUAAACCCUGGCGGCGUGCAUGAGACAUGCAAGUCGAACGGACGAUCGGGGCUUGCUCCGGUCGUUAGUGGCGGACGGCUGAGUAACGCGUGGGUGACCUGCCCCGAAGUGGGGGAUAACUGCCCGAAAGGGUGGCUAAUACCGCAUGUGGCGACGUGUUCGUUCACGUCAUCAAAGCCGUGAGGCGCUUCGGGAGGGGCCUGCGUCCGAUUAGCUCGUUGGUGGGGUAACGGCUCACCAAGGCGACGAUCGGUAGGUGGUCUGAGAGGACGAUCACCCGACUGGGACUGAGACACGGCCCAGACUCCUACGGGAGGCAGCAGUCGGGAAUUUUGCUCAAUGGGCGAAAGCCUGAAGCAGCACGCUGCGUGAGGGAUGAAGGCCUUCGGGUUGUAAACUCUUUUUUCGGGACGAUGAUGACGGUACCUGAGGAAUAAGCACGGCUAACUACGUGCAGCAGCCGCGGUAAUACGUAGGUGGCGAGCGUUGUCCCGGAUUUACUGGGCGUAAAGAGCGCGCAGGCGGUCGUGCAAGUCGAGUGUGAAAGCCCCCCGGCUCAACUGGGGAGGGUCACUCGAUACUGCUCGACUCGAAGGCGGGAGAGGGAAGUGGAAUUCCCCGGUGUAGUGGUGAAAUGCGUAGAUAUCGGGAGGAACACCAGUGGCGAAGGCGACUUCCUGGCCCGUUCUUGACGCUGAGGCGCGAAAGCUAGGGGAGCAAACGGGAUUAGAUACCCCGGUAGUCCUAGCCGUAAACGAUGGACACUAGGUGUUGGUGGUAUCCAACCCCGCCAGUGCCGAAGCUAACGCAUUAAGUGUCC